GACGAACGCUGGCGGCGUGCCUAACACAUGCAAGUGGAGCGACGAACCAGGCUUCGGCCUGGGGCAGAGCCGCGAACGGGUGAGUAACACGUGGGUAACCUGCCCUGAUGAUUGGGACAACCCGAGGAAACUCGGGCUAAUACCAAAUGUGCCCUCCGACCAUAAGGUCGCUGGGGAAAGGAAGCUUCGGCCUCCGCAUCGGGAUGGGCCCGCGGCCCAUUAGCUUGUUGGUGAGGUAAGGCUCACCAAGGCAACGAUGGGUAGCUGGUCUGAGAGGACGAUCAGCCACACUGGGACUGAGACACGGCCCAGACUCCUACGGGAGGCAGCAGUGGGGAAUCUUGCGCAAUGCGCGAAAGCGUGACGCAGCAACGCCGCGUGGGGGAAGAAGG
RNAcentral lists this ribosomal RNA (392 nucleotides) under uncultured bacterium. RNAcentral describes it as "bacterial SSU rRNA". It matches the Rfam family "Bacterial small subunit ribosomal RNA", at positions 28 to 414 of the family's 1533-position model. The record is from RNAcentral.